Molecule: ribosomal RNA, 379 nt
Filed under: uncultured eukaryote
Lineage: Eukaryota
Description: partial 18S ribosomal RNA
Rfam family: Eukaryotic small subunit ribosomal RNA
Source: RNAcentral
CAAUAGCGUAUAUUAAAGUUGUUGCGGUUAAAAAGCUCGUAGUUGGAUUUCUGCCGAGGACGACCGGUCCGCCCUCUGGGUGUGUAUCUGGUUUGGCCUGGGCAUCUUCUUGGAGAACGUAGCUGCACUUGACUGUGUGGUGCGGUGUCCAGGACUUUUACUUUGAGGAAAUUAGAGUGUUUCAAGCAGGCACACGCCUUGAAUACAUUAGCAUGGAAUAAUAAGAUAGGACCUCGGUUCUAUUUUGUUGGUUUCUAGAGCUGAGGUAAUGAUUAAUAGGGAUAGUUGGGGGCAUUCGUAUUUAACUGUCAGAGGUGAAAUUCUUGGAUUUGUUAAAGACAGACUACUGCGAAAGCAUUUGCCAAGGAUGUUUUCAUUG